This 601-nucleotide ribosomal RNA is filed under the name Fusarium sp. RNAcentral's name for it is "partial large subunit ribosomal RNA". It matches the Rfam family "Eukaryotic large subunit ribosomal RNA", at positions 1 to 633 of the family's 3401-position model. The record is from RNAcentral. Lineage: Eukaryota; Fungi; Ascomycota; Sordariomycetes; Hypocreales; Nectriaceae.
GACUUUUCCUCCGCUUAUUGAUAGGCCUAUGCAUGCAUAUCAAUAAGCGGAGGAAAAGAAACCAACAGGGAUUGCCCUAGUAACGGCGAGUGAAGCGGCAACAGCUCAAAUUUGAAAUCUGGCUUUCGGGCCCGAGUUGUAAUUUGUAGAGGAUACUUUUGAUGCGGUGCCUUCCGAGUUCCCUGGAACGGGACGCCAUAGAGGGUGAGAGCCCCGUCUGGUUGGAUGCCAAAUCUCUGUAAAGUUCCUUCGACGAGUCGAGUAGUUUGGGAAUGCUGCUCUAAAUGGGAGGUAUAUGUCUUCUAAAGCUAAAUAUUGGCCAGAGACCGAUAGCGCACAAGUAGAGUGAUCGAAAGAUGAAAAGCACUUUGAAAAGAGAGUUAAAAAGUACGUGAAAUUGUUGAAAGGGAAGCGUUUAUGACCAGACUUGGACUUGGUUAAUCAUCUGGGGUUCUCCCCAGUGCACUUUUCCAGUUCAGGCCAGCAUCAGUUUUCGCCGGGGGAUAAAGGCUUCGGGAAUGUAGCUCUCUUCGGCCAUUUAUAGCCCGUUUGUAAUACCCUGGCGGAGACUGAGGUUCGCGCUCGCAACGAUGAUGACGUG